CGGCACGGGUGAGUAACGCGUAUGCAACCUACCUACUACAGGGGAAUAGCCCGAAGAAAUUCGGAUUAAUGCCGCAUAAUACAGGGGCACCGCAUGGUGAUAUUUGUUAAAGAUUAAUUGGUAGUAGAUGGGCAUGCGUUCCAUUAGCCAGUUGGUGAGGUAACGGCUCACCAAAGCAACGAUGGAUAGGGGAACUGAGAGGUUUAUCCCCCACACUGGUACUGAGACACGGACCAG
Molecule: ribosomal RNA, 237 nt
Filed under: uncultured bacterium
Lineage: Bacteria
Description: partial 16S ribosomal RNA
Rfam family: Bacterial small subunit ribosomal RNA
Source: RNAcentral